This 105-nucleotide non-coding RNA is filed under the name human gut metagenome. RNAcentral describes it as "FMN riboswitch (RFN element)". It matches the Rfam family "FMN riboswitch aptamer (RFN element)". From Rfam's summary of the family: The RFN element is a highly conserved domain that is found frequently in the 5'-untranslated regions of prokaryotic mRNAs that encode for flavin mononucleotide (FMN) biosynthesis and transport proteins. This element is a metabolite-dependent riboswitch that directly binds FMN in the absence of proteins. In Bacillus subtilis, the riboswitch most likely controls gene expression by causing premature transcription termination within the 5' untranslated region of the ribDEAHT operon and precluding access to the ribosome-binding site of ypaA mRNA. The record is from RNAcentral.
UAUCUUCAGGGCAGAGUGUAAAUCUCGACUGGCGGUAAAGUCCGCGCGCGCAAGCUGAUUCGGUGAAACUCCGAGACCAACGGUAAAGUCCGGAUGAAAGAAGAU